AAGCAAUGGCCUCCUGAACGUGCGUUGCAUUGGGAUUUCCUGAGAGUAUGUCUGCUUCAGUGCUUAA
This 67-nucleotide ribosomal RNA is filed under the name Symbiodinium sp. RNAcentral's name for it is "partial 5.8S ribosomal RNA". The record is from RNAcentral. Lineage: Eukaryota; Dinophyceae; Suessiales; Symbiodiniaceae.